CCUACGGGAGGCAGCAGUAGGGAAUCUUCCACAAUGGACGAAAGCCUGAUGCAGCAACGCCGCGUGAGUGAAGAAGGGUUUCGGCUCGUAAAGCUCUGUUGGUAGUGAAGAAAGAUAGAGGUAGUAACUGGCCUUUAUUUGACGGUAAUUACUUAGAAAGUCACGGCUAACUACGUGCCAGCAGCCGCGGUAAUACGUAGGUGGCAAGCGUUGUCCGGAUUUAUUGGGCGGAAAGCGAGUGCAGGCGGUUCAAUAAGUCUGAUGUGAAAGCCUUCGGCUCAACCGGAGAAUUGCAUCAGAAACUGUUGAACUGGAGUGCAGAAGAGGAAGGUGGAACUCCAGGUGUAGCGGUGGAAUGCGUAGAUAUAAGGAAGAACACCGGUGGCGAAGGCGGCUCUCUGGUCUGCAACUGACGCUGAGGCUCGAAAGCAUGGGUAGCGAACAGGAUUAGAUACCCCUGUAGUC
RNAcentral lists this ribosomal RNA (465 nucleotides) under uncultured bacterium. RNAcentral describes it as "partial 16S ribosomal RNA". It matches the Rfam family "Bacterial small subunit ribosomal RNA", at positions 338 to 795 of the family's 1533-position model. The record is from RNAcentral.